AAAAAAUCAGAACAAAUAUUUUUAAGACGUUUUUAUUUUCAUAAAUAAUUUCAAAACAGAAAUAAACAUAUUGUAAUAUGCUUGCGAAAAUUCUUUUCACGUACUUGGGCAGUAUUUCGGACUCUUUCGAUAUAUGAAAUGGUCAUGUCUAAAAUAAAAAUAAAAAAAAGAAAGAAAAAUGAGAAUAUACUGAGUUCUAUUUUUUUUUCUCGUAACGGCGUAUAAACGAUUUUAUCGGUUCACGAAAUCUGCAUCGAAGACGAAGUUUUUAUUAUAAUUCAGUGCA
Molecule: non-coding RNA, 286 nt
Organism: Cinara cedri
Lineage: Eukaryota; Metazoa; Arthropoda; Insecta; Hemiptera; Aphididae
Source: the annotation of a GenBank genome assembly